Molecule: ribosomal RNA, 463 nt
Filed under: uncultured bacterium
Lineage: Bacteria
Description: bacterial SSU rRNA
Rfam family: Bacterial small subunit ribosomal RNA
Source: RNAcentral
CCAGACUCCUACGGGAGGCAGCAGUGAGGAAUAUUGGUCAAUGGGCGGGAGCCUGAACCAGCCAAGCCGCGUGAAGGAAGAAGGCGCCAGGCGUCGUAAACUUCUUUUGCCGGGGGACAAACGGCGGCACGCGUGCCGUCCUGAGGGUACCCGGAGAAAAAGCAUCGGCUAACUCCGUGCCAGCAGCCGCGGUAAUACGGAGGAUGCGAGCGUUAUCCGGAUUUAUUGGGUUUAAAGGGUGCGUAGGCGGGAUGCCAAGUCAGGGGUAAAAUACGGGGGCUCAACCUGCGUCCGCCGUUGAAACUGGCGUUCUUGAGUGGGCGAGAAGUACGCGGAAUGCGUGGUGUAGCGGUGAAAUGCAUAGAUAUCACGCAGAACUCCGAUUGCGAAGGCAGCAUACCGGCGCGCAACUGACGCUCAUGCACGAAAGCGUGGGUAUCGAACAGGAUUAGAUACCCCCGUA